Molecule: transfer RNA, 69 nt
Filed under: Trogon personatus
Lineage: Eukaryota; Metazoa; Chordata; Aves; Trogoniformes; Trogonidae
Description: tRNA-Glu
Source: RNAcentral
GUUCUUGUAGUUGAAAUACAACAGUAGUUUUUCAGGCUACAGAUCUUGGAGAUAAGCCAAGCAGGAACU